Non-coding RNA from Podarcis lilfordi (Lilford's wall lizard), 71 nucleotides. The record is from the annotation of a GenBank genome assembly. NCBI's taxonomy places the organism in Eukaryota, Metazoa, Chordata, Lepidosauria, Squamata, Lacertidae.
GGGCUCUAGCUCAGUGAUAGAGCAUCUGCUUUGCUUGCAGAAGGUCUCAGGUUCAAUCCUGGGCAUCCCCA